This 976-nucleotide unclassified non-coding RNA is filed under the name Mesorhizobium sp. ORS 3667. Its description in RNAcentral is "partial 16S-23S ribosomal RNA intergenic spacer". The stretch from base 320 to 393 matches the Rfam family "tRNA". The record is from RNAcentral. Lineage: Bacteria; Pseudomonadati; Pseudomonadota; Alphaproteobacteria; Hyphomicrobiales; Phyllobacteriaceae.
AAUGGGGUCCCCACCCGCGACGAGGCUUUUGCCGAGGAGCUUAAGGGUGGGGGCAAAGACCCCUUUCGGUUCUCUUGGAACAAGACGGAAGAUAGUCAAUCUUACCGUCGCGCAUACCUUAAAGCGGGUCUGCCGCCUUCGUUUCUCUUUCUUCAGCGAAUGACUUUGGAUCAGCGCUCGCGCGCCGUACCGGCCUUUGGCCUGGCGCUCCGCGAGGGCGCGGCACGAGCCGCGACGGCCACCUGCUAUUCAGAUCUGGCGGCCUUGCGAGGCUUCACCUCGAGGUCAACAGCUUGUUACGGGCAGAGCGCGGUCUUUAGGGCUUGUAGCUCAGUUGGUUAGAGCGCGCGCUUGAUAAGCGUGAGGUCGGAGGUUCAAGUCCUCCCAGGCCCACCAUCAUCUCGAUAUCUGUCGGGAAAUACUAUCAGGGGCCGUAGCUCAGCUGGGAGAGCGCCUGCUUUGCAAGCAGGAUGUCGUCGGUUCGAUCCCGUCCGGCUCCACCAACCAUCUUCUGCGAAGAUGGGGCGUGUAGAGUGGAGAUGGUGAGAAAAAAAGUCAUUCGAUAAGGAGUUUGCGCUGAGCUAAGUGCUCUGCGCCUGUUCUGUUUGACAUCGUAAAGAGAAGAUUUGUUCGAACUUCAUGAUCCGAAAGGACCGUGAUUUGUCGCAAGGGACGCUCAAUCCCUUGCCUAUGAUGGGCUUGCCUAACCGCGCCCUCGAACGGAUCUCGAGAAGCUGGUCUUUUUGUGCCAAUUCCAUUCAGUGAGGCUCGGCACAGAGCUUCGCUGAGGCGACGAUCCUUCGGAUCGCGCUUAGCCAAUCUCGCAAGAGGGUGGUUGAAGCGACGAUCCUGCGAGAUCGCGCGAUGGGUAUUGGCAAUGAGAACGAUCAAGUGUCUUAAGGGCAAUUGGUGGAUGCCUUGGCAUGCACAGGCGAUGAAGGACGUGAUACGCUGCGAUAAGCUACGGGAGGUGCGA